GGUACUUUUUUUUUUUUUUUUUGAGACGGAGUCUCCUUCUGUACGCCAGGCUGGAGUGCAGUGGCACGAUCUUGGCUCACCGCGAC
This 86-nucleotide long non-coding RNA is filed under the name Pongo abelii (Sumatran orangutan). RNAcentral describes it as "lincRNA". The record is from RNAcentral. Lineage: Eukaryota; Metazoa; Chordata; Mammalia; Primates; Hominidae.